Molecule: ribosomal RNA, 154 nt
Filed under: uncultured bacterium
Lineage: Bacteria
Description: partial 16S ribosomal RNA
Rfam family: Bacterial small subunit ribosomal RNA
Source: RNAcentral
GGGAAAGUUUCCGCAAUGGGCGAAAGCCUGACGGAGCAAUACCGCGUGAGGGAUGACGGCCUGUGGGUUGUAAACCUCUUUUCUCAAGGAAGAAGUUCUGACGGUACUUGAGGAAUAAGCAUCGGCUAACUCUGUGCCAGCAGCCGCGGUAAUG